RNAcentral lists this signal recognition particle RNA (95 nucleotides) under Armatimonadota bacterium. RNAcentral describes it as "Bacterial small signal recognition particle RNA". It matches the Rfam family "Bacterial small signal recognition particle RNA". Rfam says of the family: The signal recognition particle (SRP) is a universally conserved ribonucleoprotein involved in the co-translational targeting of proteins to membranes. Lineage: Bacteria; Bacillati; Armatimonadota. The record is from Rfam by way of RNAcentral.
AGUGCCACGGCAGCGGGUCGGCCACGAACCAGGUCAGGGCCGGAAGGCAGCAGCCUUAAGAGGUACGGCCCGUGUGUCGCCAGUGUGGAGCAGGC